Molecule: ribosomal RNA, 624 nt
Filed under: uncultured bacterium
Lineage: Bacteria
Description: bacterial SSU rRNA
Rfam family: Bacterial small subunit ribosomal RNA
Source: RNAcentral
AAAAGCUCCGGUGGUGUAAGAUGGACCCGCGUCUGAUUAGCUUGUUGGCGGGGUAACGGCCCACCAAGGCAACGAUCAGUAGCCGGCCUGAGAGGGUGAACGGCCACAUUGGGACUGAGACACGGCCCAAACUCCUACGGGAGGCAGCAGUGGGGAAUAUUGGACAAUGGGGGGAACCCUGAUCCAGCGACGCCGCGUGAGUGAAGAAGUAUUUCGGUAUGUAAAGCUCUAUCAGCAGGGAAGAAAGAAAUGACGGUACCUGACUAAGAAGCCCCGGCUAACUACGUGCCAGCAGCCGCGGUAAUACGUAGGGGGCAAGCGUUAUCCGGAUUUACUGGGUGUAAAGGGAGCGUAGACGGCGAUGCAAGUCUGAAGUGAAAGGCGGGGGCCCAACCCCCGGACUGCUUUGGAAACUGUAUGGCUGGAGUGCAGGAGAGGUAAGUGGAAUUCCUAGUGUAGCGGUGAAAUGCGUAGAUAUUAGGAGGAACACCAGUGGCGAAGGCGGCUUACUGGACUGUAACUGACGUUGAGGCUCGAAAGCGUGGGGAGCAAACAGGAUUAGAUACCCUGGUAGUCCACGCCGUAAACGAUGAUCACCAGGUGUCGGUGGGUAUGGACCCAUCG